UACGAAGGGGGCUAGCGUUGUUCGGAAUCACUGGGCGUAAAGGGCGCGUAGGCGGCCGAUCAAGUCGGGGGUGAAAUCCUGGAGCUCAACUCCAGAACUGCCUUCGAUACUGGCGACCUAGAGUCCGGAAGAGGUGAGUGGAACUCCUAGUGUAGAGGUGGAAUUCGUAGAUAUUAGGAAGAACACCAGUGGCGAAGGCGGCUCACUGGUCCGGUACUGACGCUGAGGUGCGAAAGCGUGGGGAGCAAACAGG
Molecule: ribosomal RNA, 253 nt
Filed under: uncultured bacterium
Lineage: Bacteria
Description: partial 16S ribosomal RNA
Rfam family: Bacterial small subunit ribosomal RNA
Source: RNAcentral